RNAcentral lists this ribosomal RNA (267 nucleotides) under Sebacinaceae sp. 5173. RNAcentral describes it as "partial large subunit ribosomal RNA". Lineage: Eukaryota; Fungi; Basidiomycota; Agaricomycetes; Sebacinales; Sebacinaceae. The record is from RNAcentral.
GCGUUUGAAGUCAGUCGCGUCGUCUGGGACUCAGCCUUGCUUCUGCUUGGUGUACUUCCCAGUUGACGGGUCAGCAUCGGUUUCGACCGUGGGAGAAAGGCUUGGGGAAUGUGGCUCUUCGGAGUGUUAUAGCCCCUUGUUGUAUGUCUCGGUUGGGACCGAGGAUCGCAGCGCGCCUUAUGGCCGGGGUUCGCGCCCUCGGUACGCGCUUAGGAUGCUGGCAUAAUGGCUUUAAGCGACCCGUCUUGAAACACGGACCAAGGAGUC